GAAACCCGAGCUAAUACCGCAUAAUUUCUUCGGAACAAAGGAGGCUAGUUUACUAGCUUUCACUUUAAGAUGAGCCUGCGUUGGAUUAGCUUGUUGGUGAGGUAAAGGCUCACCAAGGCGAUGAUCCAUAGCUGGUCUGAGAGGAUGAUCAGCCACACUGGGACUGAGACACGGCCCAGACUCCUACGGGAGGCAGCAGUGGGGAAUAUUGGACAAUGGGGGGAACCCUGAUCCAGCGAUGCCGCGUGUGUGAAGAAGGCCUUCGGGUUGUAAAGCACUUUUAUUUGGGAGGAAUAGGUUGCGCGGAAUAUGCGUAACUAGUGACGUUACCAAAAGAAUAAGCACCGGCUAACCCUGUGCCAGCAGCCGCGGUAAUACAGGGGGUGCAAGCGUUAAUCGGAUUGACUGGGCGUAAAGGGUGCGCANGUGGUGUACUAAGUUAGAUGUGAAAUAUCCGGGCUCAACCUGGAGGGGUCAUCUAAGACUGGUGCGCUAGAGUUCACUA
RNAcentral lists this ribosomal RNA (505 nucleotides) under uncultured bacterium. Its description in RNAcentral is "bacterial SSU rRNA". It matches the Rfam family "Bacterial small subunit ribosomal RNA", at positions 153 to 653 of the family's 1533-position model. The record is from RNAcentral.